UUGGACCUGAUAUCAGACAAGACUACCCGCUGAACUUAAGCAUAUUAAUAAGCGGAGGAAAAGAAACUAACCAGGAUUCCCCUAGUAACGGCGAGUGAAGCGGGAUGAGCUCAAGCUUAAAAUCUCUGUGCAAGUUUUGCAUGGCGAAUUGUAGUCUAUAGAGGCGCUGUCAGUGCAGGCAUUUGGGGUAAGUUCCUUGGAAGAGGACAGCAUCGAGGGUGAUACUCCCGUUUGUACCCGAGUGCUUUGUGCGUACGACACGUUUUCUUUGAGUCGCGUUGUUUGGGACUGCAGCGCAAAGUAGGUGGUAAAUUCCAUCUAAAGCUAAAUAUUGGUGCGAGACCGAUAGCGAACAAGUACCGUGAGGGAAAGAUGAAAAGAACUUUGAAAAGAGAGUUAAAGAGUACCUGAAACUGCUGAAAGGGAAGCGAAUCGUAUCCAGUGUCUAUAAUCUGUGGCAUAUUUCAUUGGCGCAUGUGCGCGUGCUGUGUGUUGGAAGUGGCUUUGCUGCUCCGCGUAUGGUUCUGCGUGUGUGUGCUGGUGCCCUGUGUCAUGGUGGGACGUCAGAGUCAGUUCGUAUGCUGCGGGAAAUGGCUAUUGAGGAGGUAGGUCAGGAGCUUGCUCUUGGCUGUUAUAUCUUGGUAGUUAGUGGUCGUGGUUGGGACUGAGGUGCCUACAACGUGCUUUGGGGUCUUGCGGGUUCUUGCUUGGCGGUCUGUCUGGAUAGCUUGCUAUGCUGGUGGCGUCGUCGGGUGAUUGAGUCUGUUUGUAACCUGUGCCGUUCGGGACUUUGACGAAAUGGAGCGAUUCGGCCCGUCUUGAAACACGGACCAAGGAGUCUAACAUGUGUGCAAGUGUUAGGGUGUGGAAACCCCAGCGCGAAAUGAAAGUGAAGGGUAGCGUACGCUGCCUGAGGUAGGAAACCUUUGUUUUCAGAGGUGGCACUAUCGACCGAUCAUGAACCUUCGUGGUGAAAGAUUUGAGUAUGAGCACAUAUGUUGGUACCCGAAAGAUGGUGAACUAUGCCUGAGUAGGGUGAAGCCAGGGGAAACUCUGGUGGAAGCUCGUAGCGAUUCUGACGUGCAAAUCGAUCGUCAAACUUGGGUAUAGGGGCGAAAGACUAAUCGAACCAUCUAGUAGCUGGUUCCCUCCGAAAUUUCCCUCAGGAUAGCAGCAACUUAUUUACGAUAGUUUUAUGAGGUAAAGCGAAUGAUUAGAGGMCYGGGGGAAGAAACUUCCUUCACCUAUUCUCAAACUUUAAAUCUGUAAGACCUGCAGGUUUCUUAAUUGAACUUGUGGAUGUGAAUAUCAAGUUGCUAGUGGGCCAUACGGGGUAAGCUCGUCUGGCGAUGCGGGAUGAUCCGAACGCAAA
This 1372-nucleotide ribosomal RNA is filed under the name Globisporangium stipitatum. Its description in RNAcentral is "eukaryotic LSU rRNA". It matches the Rfam family "Eukaryotic large subunit ribosomal RNA", at positions 1 to 1178 of the family's 3401-position model. Lineage: Eukaryota; Oomycota; Peronosporomycetes; Pythiales; Pythiaceae. The record is from RNAcentral.